GACGAACGCUGGCGGCGUGCUUAACACAUGCAAGUCGAGCGGUAAGGCCCUUUCGGGGGUACACGAGCGGCGAACGGGUGAGUAACACGUGGGUGACCUGCCCUCGGCUCUGGGAUAAGCCUGGGAAACCGGGUCUAAUACUGGAUAUGACUCCAUGACGCAUGUUGUGGGGUGGAAAGCCUUGUGCGGCUGAGGAUGGGCCCGCGGCCUAUCAGCUUGUUGGUGGGGUGAUGGCCUACCAAGGCGACGACGGGUAGCCGGCCUGAGAGGGCGACCGGCCACACUGGGACUGAGACACGGCCCAGACUCCUACGGGAGGCAGCAGUGGGGAAUAUUGGACAAUGGGCGCAAGCCUGAUCCAGCGAUGCCGCGUGUGUGAAGAAGGCCUGGCGGGUUGUAAAGCAC
Molecule: ribosomal RNA, 405 nt
Filed under: uncultured bacterium
Lineage: Bacteria
Description: bacterial SSU rRNA
Rfam family: Bacterial small subunit ribosomal RNA
Source: RNAcentral